Molecule: ribosomal RNA, 267 nt
Filed under: uncultured soil bacterium
Lineage: Bacteria
Description: partial 16S ribosomal RNA
Rfam family: Bacterial small subunit ribosomal RNA
Source: RNAcentral
AGAAUCAACGCUGGCGGCGUGCCUAACACAUGCAAGUCGAACGCGAAAGCCCCGCAAGGGGUUAGUAGAGUGGCAAACGGGUGAGUAACACGUGGGUGAUCUGCCUCAGAGUGGGGGAUAACGACCCGAAAGGGUCGCUAAUACCGCAUAACAUCCUGCCUUUGGAUAGGUGGAGAUCAAAGCUAGGGAUCGCAAGACCUGGCGCUUGGAGAGGAGCCCGCGGCCGAUUAGCUAGUUGGUGAGGUAAUGGCUCACCAAGGCAACGAU